This 505-nucleotide ribosomal RNA is filed under the name uncultured bacterium. RNAcentral describes it as "bacterial SSU rRNA". It matches the Rfam family "Bacterial small subunit ribosomal RNA", at positions 30 to 526 of the family's 1533-position model. The record is from RNAcentral.
AUUGAACGCUGGCGGCAUGCCUUACACAUGCAAGUCGAACGGCAGCACGGGUGCUUGCACCUGGUGGCGAGUGGCGAACGGGUGAGUAAUACAUCGGAACGUGCCCUGAAGUGGGGGAUAACGCAGCGAAAGUUGCGCUAAUACCGCAUAUUCUGUGAGCAGGAAAGCGGGGGACCGCAAGGCCUCGCGCUUUAGGAGCGGCCGAUGUCGGAUUAGCUAGUUGGUGGGGUAAAAGCCCACCAAGGCGACGAUCCGUAGCGGGUCUGAGAGGAUGAUCCGCCACACUGGGACUGAGACACGGCCCAGACUCCUACGGGAGGCAGCAGUGGGGAAUUUUGGACAAUGGGCGCAAGCCUGAUCCAGCCAUGCCGCGUGAGUGAAGAAGGCCUUCGGGUUGUAAAGCUCUUUCGGUGGGGAAGAAAUUGCACUUUCUAAUACAAGGUGUAGAUGACGGUACCCGCAUAAGAAGCACCGGCUAACUACGUGCCAGCAGCCGCCGUAAUAC